Camelina sativa (false flax) is the source of this 103-nucleotide non-coding RNA. Lineage: Eukaryota; Viridiplantae; Streptophyta; Magnoliopsida; Brassicales; Brassicaceae. The record is from RefSeq and is a predicted model, not a curated record.
AAACAAAAGAUGAUUGAGCUGCUGAAAUCUCAUGGCGGUUUAUCUUAUGGUCAAAAUGGAAGUCACUUUGAACCAAAGCCUGUGCCACCACCGAUUCCAAAGA